This is an RNA transcript of Cimex lectularius (bed bug), 1137 nucleotides long. RefSeq lists it as uncharacterized. The record is from RefSeq and is a predicted model, not a curated record. Lineage: Eukaryota; Metazoa; Arthropoda; Insecta; Hemiptera; Cimicidae. The transcript has 5 exons.
AUCUGAUCUGUAAAAGUUUAAAAAAUAUGUCAAGAUAAGGAGAUAAAAAAUUUGCCAAUAGACCUGUUAGGCGUCUAGCGUACGAGCAGUGUUUGAUUGAUGCAACAUCGGGCUAUCGUUUGGAAGAUUUUACACUAUCACUAUCAUGGGGGCAUUUUGCCAUCCUGAUGAAUGCCAAUGAAACUAUGAAUUCAUCCUUCGCCACGUCGGAAGGAUGGAACUUUCAUGAACAAGACAGAACACCCUUGCGAAAAGAAGCAUUCUGUUGUGAAGAACCUGCCACUUCCAUCGCACAUGUUGAGAAAGAAAAACAUUCCGCUUCAAUAUGAUUCAUCAUGUUUUCCAUCAACUUCUGAGCAGCUAUUUAUUUGUAAUUUGUACAAAUUACAAAAUAAAGAAAAAAGAAUUGACGUCAGUAUGUUCCAAAAUUAUUGUCCACUUCCACACCAGUUGGGAUAUUUAUCUGAGAAGAAUAAUGGUUGUGAACAAUUUAAAGACCCUCUCGAAGGAGGAGACAUUGGAUUUUGUGAACUCCUUUGACACUAUCUUUUCCAACUUCAUGGAUCGUCUUCAUUCUUUUUGAUUUGUUCUAUUUGAAGUACGACAUUCCGACUGAUCAGGUGUUCUGUGGCUUGGGUCUGAAAUGAUCAUCAAGGCACCAGAAGUGAUGAACAGCUUCAAGGAAAUGCAGAAGAGAGUCUUUUACUUGGCGAACAACAGCAAGAAGUCACCAAAUUUGCUAUCUGCCAAGUUGGGCCACAUGGGGUUUGAAGCGAUAAAGGUUGAAGUCCUGUGCACUGCAGUGCUUCGGCUCAAGUGUCUCAAGAUGAAAGACUUCAAUAAAACUGCUUACCUUUCAAGUUCAACUGCAGUGAAGGAAGCAAUCCAAGCUGUCGGAAUAUCAACUAUCGGGCACGGGAUGCAGCAUGGAAAUAGCUUUCUUGGAUGUACAGAUGAUGGAAGACGCCGUGCAGUUUGAUUAAAACAACAAGUUAGACCUGGUGCCUGACUAUUUCACCUGUACAAUUGCUGAUUUACUCGAGGUGUUACAUAUGAGCAACUCUACUUAGCAUCAACUCAACAGAAUAUUGUUUCAUUGUAUAGAUGGAAUUUUGAAAUAAACUUUUAAUAAUUUGA